Non-coding RNA from Schistosoma mansoni, 45 nucleotides. The record is from Rfam. Lineage: Eukaryota; Metazoa; Platyhelminthes; Trematoda; Strigeidida; Schistosomatidae.
AUCCAUCUGACGAGUCCCAAAUAUGAUGAGAUGCGCAUCCUGGAU